ACUCCUACGGGAGGCAGCAGUGGGGAAUCUUGCGCAAUGGGCGAAAGCCUGACGCAGCAACGCCGCGUGAGUGAUGAAGGCCUUCGGGUCGUAAAGCUCUGUCAGGAGGGAAGAAUAAAUGACGGUACCUCCAAAGGAAGCACCGGCUAACUCCGUGCCAGCAGCCGCGGUAAUACGGAGGGUGCAAACGUUGCUCGGAAUCAUUGGGCGUAAAGCGCGCGUAGGCGGCCUAGUAAGUCUGAUGUGAAAGCCCAGGGCUCAACCCUGGAAAGCCAUUGGAAACUACUCGGCUUGAGAGCAGGAGGGGCAGGUGGAAUUCCUGGUGUAGGAGUGAAAUCCGUAGAGAUCAGGAGGAACACCGGUGGCGAAGGCGACCUGCUGGACUGUAUCUGACGCUGAGGCGCGAAAGCGUGGGGGAGCAAACAGGAUUAGAUACCCUGGUAGGUAC
RNAcentral lists this ribosomal RNA (448 nucleotides) under uncultured bacterium. RNAcentral's name for it is "bacterial SSU rRNA". It matches the Rfam family "Bacterial small subunit ribosomal RNA", at positions 335 to 795 of the family's 1533-position model. The record is from RNAcentral.